GGUUUUCCUGCAGAGCAACUGUUUGGCAGGUGAAGCUUAAGUCAGUUGGUAACUUGACUCCCUUUUCAAACUGUCAACACAGUGGUAUCACCAGUCUCAUUAAAAUUGAUGUCGGCACAACUUGACAGGACUGGAGAAAAGGGAAGGUCAUAGCCUAGGGACAGAACCACUUGGUUCUGUCUCAUCUUUCUCUGAUGGGAGGGUGAUGCAGCCCAAAUAGGAUGCCAGAAAUGAAAACGACUCUAACUCUGCUCGCACGUGUACUAGGUAGAGGUCCCAGCGGUGGUGAUGAGUGUGGGCUAGCAUUUUACACAAAGUGCUCUGCAUUUGCAUCAGAAGUGUCAUUCACUUUUUAGGGCCGGGAUUCCUACAGCAGGAGUAAACUAAAGGUAAGAGCAAAGUUGAGAACAGGGCCUGGUUCUUUCACUGCUUCUCAUCAUAAACCUUGGGCCAG
Molecule: long non-coding RNA, 454 nt
Filed under: Bos taurus (domestic cattle)
Lineage: Eukaryota; Metazoa; Chordata; Mammalia; Artiodactyla; Bovidae
Description: long non-coding RNA NONBTAT024554
Source: RNAcentral